AGAGUUUGAUCCUGGCUCAGGACGAACGCUGGCGGCGUGCCUAAUACAUGCAAGUAGAACGCUGAAGACUUUAGCUUGCUAAAGUUGGAAGAGUUGCGAACGGGUGAGUAACGCGUAGGUAACCUGCCUACUAGCGGGGGAUAACUAUUGGAAACGAUAGCUAAUACCGCAUAAUACAGAGAACCGCAUGGUUCUUUGUUGAAAGGCGCUUCUGGUGUCGCUGAUGGAUGGACCCGCGGUGCAUUAGCUAGACGGUGAGGUAACGGCUCACCGUGGCAAUGAUGCAUAGCCGACCUGAGAGGGUGAUCGGCCACAUUGGGACUGAGACACGGCCCAAACUCCUACGGGAGGCAGCAGUAGGGAAUCUUCGGCAAUGGACGAAAGUCUGACCGAGCAACGCCGCGUGAGUGAAGAAGGUUUUCGGAUCGUAAAACUCUGUUGUUAGAGAAGAACAGGAGCGAUAGUAACUGCUCGCUCUUUGACGGUAUCUAACCAGAAAGCCACGGCUAACUACGUGCCAGCAGCCGCGGUAAUACGUAGGUGGCAAGCGUUGUCCGGAUUUAUUGGGCGUAAAGCGAGCGCAGGCGGUCUUUUAAGUCUGAUGUGAAAGCCCACGGCUUAACCGUGGAGGGUCAUUGGAAACUGGGAGACUUGAGUGCAGAAGAGGAAAGUGGAACUCCAUGUGUAGCGGUGGAAUGCGUAGAUAUAUGGAAGAACACCAGUGGCGAAGGCGGCUUUCUGGUCUGUAACUGACGCUGAGGCUCGAAAGCGUGGGGAGCAAACAGGAUUAGAUACCCUGGUAGUCCACGCCGUAAACGAUGAGUGCUAAGUGUUGGAGGGUUUCCGCCCUUCAGUGCUGCAGCUAACGCAUUAAGCACUCCGCCUGGGGAGUACGACCGCAAGGUUGAAACUCAAAGGAAUUGACGG
Molecule: ribosomal RNA, 927 nt
Filed under: uncultured bacterium
Lineage: Bacteria
Description: bacterial SSU rRNA
Rfam family: Bacterial small subunit ribosomal RNA
Source: RNAcentral